GUAAUCACUUGUCCCCUAAAUAGGGACCAGUAUGAACGGCUAAAUGAGGGCCUAACUGUCUCCUAUGGCCAAUCAAUGAAACUGAUCUUCCAGUAAAAAAGCUGGAAUAAACCCACAAGACGAGAAGACCCUGUGGAGCUUUAAACUAAUAUACUAUCACAUCAACCCUUAUACCAAAAUGGUUCAAUAGUAAAAAAUAAUAGUAUAAACUUUAAGUUGGGGCAACUACGGAAUAAAAAAAACCUUCCAUGCAACAGGAUAUAUUAUCCAUUAAAGGACUACAAACCAAAAAUAUUUUAUGUAAACGACCCAGUAACACUGAACAACGAACCAAGUUACCCCAGGGAUAACAGCGCCAUCCUCUUCUAGAGUCCCCAUCGCCAAGAGGGUUUACGACCUCGAUGUUGGAUCAGGGCCCCCAGGCGGUGCAGCCGCUGCCAACGGUUCGUUUGUUCAACGAUUGAUGCCCUACGUGAUCU
RNAcentral lists this ribosomal RNA (479 nucleotides) under Phyllopezus pollicaris. RNAcentral's name for it is "partial 16S ribosomal RNA". It matches the Rfam family "Bacterial large subunit ribosomal RNA", at positions 1961 to 2606 of the family's 2925-position model. Lineage: Eukaryota; Metazoa; Chordata; Lepidosauria; Squamata; Phyllodactylidae. The record is from RNAcentral.